RNAcentral lists this ribosomal RNA (397 nucleotides) under uncultured bacterium. RNAcentral describes it as "bacterial SSU rRNA". It matches the Rfam family "Bacterial small subunit ribosomal RNA", at positions 124 to 518 of the family's 1533-position model. The record is from RNAcentral.
CCUGGCCUGUAAGCGGGGAAUAACCCGUGAAAGACGGACUAAUACCGCAUAAUACUAAAGUUACUGCAUGGUAAUUAUUUAAACAUUUAUGGCUUACAGAUGGGCAUGCGCAUGAUUAGCUAGUUGGAGAGGUAACGGCUCCCCAAGGGCAACGAUCAUUAGGGGUUCUGAGAGGAAGGUCCCCCACACUGGUACUGAGACACGGACCAGACUCCUACGGGAGGCAGCAGUGAGGAAUAUUGGUCAAUGGACGAGAGUCUGAACCAGCCAAGUCGCGUGCAGGAAGAAUGUCCCUAUGGAUUGUAAACUGCUUUUGCAGGGGAAUAAAGUGCAUCACGUGUGAUGUUUUGUAUGUACUCUGCGAAUAAGGAUCGGCUAACUCCGUGCCAGCAGCCGC